GUGUGACAGCAUAUUUGCUGAACUAAUUUCUGUGUACAUGUACUGUGUCCUUCCUUACAGCCCACCUCUCCAACAACUCACAACAAGCUCCUGGUCCCACUGGACUGGGCCUCCGGUGUCACCACCAAACCAGACCCUUGUGUGGUCAAUAAACACAUCAGGAAAGUGGUGGAUUCUGUGUUCAGGAAUUAUGACCAUGACCAUGAUGGCUAUAUUUCUCAAGAGGACUUUGAGAGCAUUGCUGCUAAUUUUCCCUUCCUGGACUCCUUCUGCGUUUUGGACAAAGAUCAAGAUGGAUUGAUCAGUAAGGAUGAGAUGAUAGCAUAUUUCCUCCGGGCCAAUCCACUGCUGCAGUGUAAGAUGGGUCCAGGUUUCAUCCACUGCUUCCAGGAGAUGACGUACUUGAAGCCCACCUUCUGUGAACACUGUGCUGGAUUUGUGUGUAUUUUAAGAGUGUCUUACUGCACUUUUCAUGUCUCCUUAAUUUUCCUCAAAGCAAUCAAAAUUUGGAAAAAUUGCAAUUAAACAUUAAACUUAUGGGCCUGC
Etheostoma spectabile (orangethroat darter) is the source of this 546-nucleotide long non-coding RNA. RefSeq lists it as uncharacterized. The transcript is spliced from 3 exons. The record is from RefSeq and is a predicted model, not a curated record. Lineage: Eukaryota; Metazoa; Chordata; Actinopteri; Perciformes; Percidae.